UUUCUUUCCCACGAUUGUUAACCAUGAUUCUCUCUCCCACGAUUCAUUAAAAUUGAAAAUUUCCAAUAUUUGAAAUUAUUUUCAUCAAUUACUUUUCUGGAAAUUUACAGUAUUUGAAACUCUUUUGAUCAACCACUUCUUGCCGGAGAAAACGCACGCACACACGGUACCCUUUCCCCCAUCUCUGCCUCACGCCGCCAGCCACCGCUCGGCAUCGCCAUGCCGAUGGACAGCACCCGCAGCAGCCCACGCGUCUCCUCUCUCGGCUUCUCCUUUCUAUCUCUCUCCUCGCCGCUGUCGUCUUCGUCCUCGCCGGUGGAAACUGUCAGAGCUCUUUCAACAAUAAGAAUUUCUUCAAUUUCCCCUCGAAAGAACAUCAUAGGUUGGGAAAUUUCCCCAACCAUGUCGAUGAAGCCCUCAUAGAUUUUCUCCGCAGCAGCAAUCCCUCAAAAGCGACAGAAGCAAAACAACGUGCAAUCGAGUCACACGAUAAAUGAAUCGCAGAAAUCCUCUCCUUGAUUUUGCUAUCCGAUAAAAUCGCGGCGGCGGCGAAGGAGGCCAAACUACUCUAGCUCGAGUACUCUUACGCAUCAAUCCUAUACAAAUUCAGAAACUGUAGAAAUCUAACAUAGAACACAACGAUGGAGCUUCACUACAUAUCUUCGUCUCUGAAUCGAUUCAGAGCUUCGGCUAAUUCCUACUUGUCUGAAUUCGAGCCUCUCGCGUUGCUUCUCAUACCUCUGUCGACGUUUUUCUUCGCCAGAUUAAUUAAUCGAUUCUUGUCGUGGUUUUCGAGGAAGGCCUCAAAUCUACGAUAGUGGAGUUGGUCAUGGCUUAUGUCAAGUUGGUGCCUGGUGUGCAGGGUUAUAUCUUAUAUCUAUGCUGAAAAGCACUCUGCCGUUCGAUUCGAUUCCACACAUGCGAAAAAAAAACUGCGGGAAGGUGAGCAAAAGACACUAAUCAGGUUGCAUAGAUGUCACUGAAAUUUAGGAUUUUGUUCAACUGGGGUUGCCUAUUUUCUGGAAUGAAAGUAGGUGUUAGAUGUGUAUACUCUGGUUGCCUAAAUGUUCCUGAUAUGAAAAUUUUGGUUGCCUAGAUGCUGCCUGCUUUGAAAUUAGUAUUGUAAAAAAGUUUGUUUGCUUAAUAUGAAGAUGUAUAUGUCGCCUAGAUGCUCUAUCUCAAUGUGUAAAUGAGCAUGGGAUGAUGCAUAUAGUUGAGAGCCGAGUUCUGUAAUAUGAAAAUUUGAGUAGUGUGUUGAAUUGGCUAACAUUGUGGGAUGGUAUUCUAGCGAAAGAGCAUGUGGAUUUGAUUUCCACCAGCGAUGGCCUAGCUCAACUACCCUUAGCUAUCGCAAAAAAACUGUGGGAAGAAGAAGGAAGUUAGCUUCGUGAUCGAUUAAUCGAAGUCGGUGGAGGAUAAGAUCAUGGAGAUCGCUUCGCUAGAGAAGUUUUUGCAUGAGAGAAUUAGAUCGACGGCAAAGCUGUGCUCUUGGUGAUUUCGUUACCGUUAGCUGUGACAAGAACAAGAUCACCAUCAUCGCCAGUUCCACUUUCUCCAAAAGGUAUUUGAGGUGUUUGACAAAGAAAUACUUAAAGAGGCAUAAUGUGCGGGAUUGGCUUCUUGUGAUUUCUUCCAAGUUCCAACAAUGAAAGAAACGUGUAUGAAUUGCACUAUUUCAACACUGCAGAGCAAGAGCCGAGGAUGAAGAUUAAAUAUAGAGAGAUUAAUUUCAUGUUCCUUUUAUGCUCUGCCAACUUUGUGGAUCAAUUUGUAUUGUUUGUUCUAUUUAUCUAAGACUUUUGAGGCUGCUUAUGAGAUUGAAUUUUGAUGUGGUCAUUUGCUUUUUAUUUUAAGUUGUUACAAAUUGUAGCAAUAAUCGAGGCAAAUUGUGUGCUUAUUUUGUUGGCUCUUUGCUAAAUUAUGCUAAAGUUAACUGAUUUUUGACUUUGUUAAAGAAAGACUCCUAGAUCAUA
Salvia miltiorrhiza (redroot sage) is the source of this 1973-nucleotide long non-coding RNA. RefSeq lists it as uncharacterized. The record is from RefSeq and is a predicted model, not a curated record. The transcript is spliced from 2 exons. Lineage: Eukaryota; Viridiplantae; Streptophyta; Magnoliopsida; Lamiales; Lamiaceae.